RNAcentral lists this ribosomal RNA (253 nucleotides) under uncultured bacterium. RNAcentral's name for it is "partial 16S ribosomal RNA". It matches the Rfam family "Bacterial small subunit ribosomal RNA", at positions 524 to 776 of the family's 1533-position model. The record is from RNAcentral.
UACGAAGGGGGCUAGCGUUGCUCGGAAUUACUGGGCGUAAAGGGAGCGUAGGCGGAUCGUUAAGUUGGGGGUGAAAGCCCGGGGCUCAACCUCGGAAUUGCCUUCAAUACCGGCGAUCUUGAGUAUGGGAGAGGUGUGUGGAACUCCGAGUGUAGAGGUGAAAUUCGUAGAUAUUCGGAAGAACACCAGUGGCGAAGGCGACACACUGGCCCAUUACUGACGCUGAGGCUCGAAAGCGUGGGGAGCAAACAGG